GUCUAUGGCCAUGCCACCCUGAACAAGCCUGAUGUCUGAUCUCGGAAGCUAAGCAGGGUCAGGCCUGGUUAGUACUUGGAUGGGAGACCACCUAGGAAGACCAAGUGCUGUAGUCA
Molecule: ribosomal RNA, 116 nt
Filed under: Pteropus alecto (black flying fox)
Lineage: Eukaryota; Metazoa; Chordata; Mammalia; Chiroptera; Pteropodidae
Source: RNAcentral